CCUACGGGAGUCAGCAGUGGGGAAUAUUGCACAAUGGGGGAAACUCUGAUGCAGCGACGCCGCGUGCGUGAAGAAGUAUCUCGGUAUGUAAAGCUCUAUCAGCAGGGAAGAAAAUGACGGUACCUGACUAAGCAGCCCCGGCUAACUACGUUCCUGCAGCCGCGGUAAUACGUAGGGGGCAAGCGUUAUCCGGAUUUACUGGGUGUAAAGGGGGCGUAGACGGCGCUGCAAGUCCGGAGUGAAAGCCCAUGGCUUAACCAUGGUACUGCCCUGGAUACUGUGGAGCUUGAGUGCAGGAGGGGCAGGCGGAAUGCCUAGUGUAGCGGUGAAAUGCGUAGAGAUUAGGAGGAACACCGACUGCGAAGGCGGCCUGCUAAACCAUAACUGACGUUGAGGCUCGAAAGCGUGGGGAGCAAACAGGAUUAGAUACCCGGGUAGUC
RNAcentral lists this ribosomal RNA (440 nucleotides) under uncultured bacterium. RNAcentral describes it as "partial 16S ribosomal RNA". It matches the Rfam family "Bacterial small subunit ribosomal RNA", at positions 338 to 795 of the family's 1533-position model. The record is from RNAcentral.